This 5811-nucleotide small RNA is filed under the name Pongo abelii (Sumatran orangutan). Its description in RNAcentral is "retained intron". The record is from RNAcentral. Lineage: Eukaryota; Metazoa; Chordata; Mammalia; Primates; Hominidae.
GGGGUUGCGGCGAGCCCUGCCUGCGAACGUCACGUCCCUGCGCGCUCCCUGCACUCUCCCUGCACUCUCCCGAGCUGCGCUAGGCGGGCGCCGCGGCUGCCCCGCGAAGGAAACCGAAACCGAGGCCGGGCCCGUCCCUCCGCGGCCCCAUCCGCCCAGUGCACCCGGGGCCGCGCUCGCCAGGCCGCGGAGCCCAGAGCUGCGCGCACGAACCGGGCACCGGGAGGGCGCGGCGCCGAAGGGUCCCGGGUCUUCGACGCCUCUGCGGCGGCUCCUCCCUCCUUGCAGUUGGAUCCCGGGCGGGUGCGGCCCGGCCCGUGAGCGGCGCACAGAAUGGGCCGAUGCUGCUUCUACACGGCGGGGACGUUGUCCCUGCUCCUGCUGGUGACCAGCGUCACGCUGCUGGUGGCCCGGGUCUUCCAGAAGGCUGUAGACCAGAGUAUCGAGAAGAAAAUUGUGUUAAGGAAUGGUACCGAGGCCUUUGACUCGUGGGAGAAGCCCCCUCUGCCAGUGUAUACUCAGUUCUAUUUCUUCAAUGUCACCAAUCCAGAGGAGAUCCUCAGAGGGGAGACCCCUCGGGUGGAAGAAGUGGGGCCAUACACCUACAGGGAACUCAGAAACAAAGCAAAUAUUCAAUUUGGAGAUAAUGGAACAACAAUAUCUGCUGUUAGCAACAAGGCCUAUGUUUUUGAACGAGACCAAUCUGUUGGAGACCCUAAAAUUGACUUAAUUAGAACAUUAAAUAUUCCUGUAUUGGUAAGUAGGCAUUUUAAUACCAUUAAUUUGGAUUUGGGAAGAAAGGAAAAAGCUAAGUUAAUGCUCUUUAUUAUUUUACAUUUAGGAGCCAUUAAGUUAUGUUGAAAUAUACAUAUAUAAGAAGAAAAAUACUUUUUUUCUUCUUUUCUUUACAUCUUGGACUUUUUUCUAAGAUUUAUCAAAUAAGGUCUUUUCAAAUGAUGACUAAAUUCAGAUUUUAGGAUUUGUUUUCAUAAUUUCUUCCUGAAUGUUCAGGAUUAGCAAUUGUGCAAAUAAAUAUGUCCCUAGGAUUUUUUGGUAGCUAAUAAUUUUAAAAAUGUUUAUUUGCCCCUUGUUUUCAUUCAGAAAUUCUAGCAAUGAAAUUUGUAUACCAUUUCUUACUUCAGAUUUUUAUGUUGGAUUUUAUAUUCUCAAAAUUCAUAAAUUGACACCAGAAAUCAAUAGACUGGGCAGUGGGCUCUGUUUAUAAUGGUAAUUCUACCUAAUAACGACACCUAUUCUACAUCUAUUCUAUACUGAGACCUAUGAGACUUUCUUUUUUUUUAAAUUAAAUUUAUUUAUUUAUUAUUAAUUUUUUUUGAGACAGGGUCUUGCUCUGUCGCCCAGGCUGGAGUGCAGUCAGUGGCUCCAUCACAGCUCGCUGAAGCUUCUACCUCCUGGGCUCCACAGGGAUCCUCCUGUGUCGGCCAGGGACUCCAGGCGUGAACUGCUGUGCCUGGGCUGGCCCAGUAAACAUUCUAAUUCACCUACACCAACCCCUGCCGACUCUCCCACCCUAACCCCUAGGUGACCGCUCCAUAUGCAGCUGGACACUGAUGAUGGACCCACGACCUAGACAGUAUGAGGUCCCUGCCGCCUAGUCCCAGGGGUGUAGGUCGGGUUUAUAAUGAGCCUCUGGCCCUGCUCAGGAGGAAGGUAGCGCCACCUUGUGGCCAAAGAUGCCGACAUGUUUACAAGAGCUUUUCCCCUUUUGUGGUGUCUGGAUAACUCCGAGCCUGCAAAUGGUCUUUUUGUAAAUAUUACACUUACGAAAUGCAGUACUGAGAAAGGACAGAGAAGAGGCUUUGUCUUCCAUAUGCAGCCAGAAAGGAGCUCACUGCCUGAUUUUUCAGCUAUUUAAUCUCAACCUUUACAUUUAUAUUUCCAACCCCCUUUGCUAAGGGGUAGUAGGAGAGAGUGGAUGGAGGUGCUUUGGAGGGAAUGCUGCUGUCUUAAUAUACCUCUGCUCCGCAGACUGUCAUAGAGUGGUCCCAGGUCCACUUCCUCAGGGAGAUCAUCGAGGCCAUGUUGAAAGCCUAUCAGCAGAAGCUCUUUGUGACUCACACAGUUGAUGAAUUGCUCUGGGGCUACAAAGAUGAAAUCUUGUCCCUUAUCCAUGUUUUCAGGCCCGAUAUCUCUCCCUAUUUUGGCCUAUUCUAUGAGAAAAAUGGGACUAAUGAUGGAGACUAUGUUUUUCUAACUGGAGAAGACAAUUACCUUAACUUUACAAAGAUUGUGGAAUGGAAUGGGAAAACGUCACUUGACUGGUGGAUAACAGACAAGUGCAAUAUGAUUAAUGGAACAGAUGGAGAUUCUUUUCACCCACUAAUAACCAAAGAUGAGGUCCUUUAUAUCUUCCCAUCUGAUUUUUGCAGGUCAGUGUAUAUUACUUUCAGUGACUAUGAGAGUGUACAGGGACUGCCUGCCUUUCGGUAUAAAGUUCCUGCAGAAAUAUUAGCCAAUACGUCAGACAAUGCUGGCUUCUGUAUACCUGAGGGAAACUGCCUGGGCUCAGGAGUUCUGAAUGUCAGCAUCUGCAAGAAUGGUGCACCCAUCAUUAUGUCUUUCCCACACUUUUACCAAGCAGAUGAGAGGUUUGUUUCUGCCAUAGAAGGCAUGCACCCAAAGAAGGAAGACCAUGAGACAUUUGUGGACAUUAAUCCUUUGACUGGAAUAAUCCUAAAAGCAGCCAAGAGGUUCCAAAUCAACAUUUAUGUCAAAAAAUUAGAUGACUUUGUUGAAACGGGAGACAUUAGAACCAUGGUUUUCCCAGUGAUGUACCUCAAUGAGAGUGUUCACAUUGAUAAAGAGACGGCAAGUCGACUGAAGUCUGUGAUUAACACUACUUUGAUUAUCACCAACAUACCCUACAUCAUCAUGGCGCUGGGUGUGUUCUUUGGUUUGGUUUUUACCUGGCUUGCAUGCAAAGGACAGGGAUCCAUGGAUGAGGGAACAGCAGAUGAAAGAGCACCCCUCAUUCGAACCUAAACAUUGCCUUUGCUUGGUGAAGAAACUGUGAGCUGUCCUGACCUGGACCAUGACGUGGGGAAAGCCUCCAUCUCCUUGCAGGCUUGUUGCCUGUUGAAAGAAGGGAAAAGACAUGGCGCUGGCAAGUGAUAGGAACAUUCUGGCCAGAGGUUAAAGAGCAGGCUGACAUGGCUGGCCAUUAAGCUUUAUAAAAUCAUGUGGGCUCUGAAAUUGUUCUUUUAUGUGUCUAGCAAGUAUUUAAUAAACCCUUGUAUAGUAAUUUUGUUGUUGUUGGGUGCUGGUAGCUCCAGAAUUUUGUGACCACUGUUGUGGGUAAAAUGUCUCUGCAUCACUUGUUAAUGCUACUUGGUCUAACUUUAUUCAGUAUGCUUCAUUCACCAAACUUUGUGCUUAAAAUGCGUAUAUACCAUUUUAUGUUGUAUUUCUCCAUUUCACUUGCAAAACAGAAGUAAAUGAGUUCGGGACCCAGGGUAAAAUGGUAGCUUCAUCCAAUAUAUCAUUCAAAUGCAUCUGAUUUCUAAAACAUUACAUAUUACAUUUUAUGCUGAUCUUCAGUUCAUAAUUCCUCCAGGGAAACUCAGUCUUCCAACUACAAUAAAAUACUGGGUAGAAUCAAAUGGGAAAGAGGUUGGGUGGGGCAGUACCCAUGAGUUGAUAGUAAUAAGCUCCUAAGGAUUUUUAACUUGUACUUUUGUGAACAAAGAGAAUACAUAAAUAAUGUUGGUGAGGAUAAAGUACAGGUAUUUCAUGUAGAAUUAAGUGCUAGUUAUGAUGCUUGUGGAUAGUUAACUGGUUUUUUUUUAAUCAAAAUGAUCGUGCUAUGAAAAGAUGCUUCUGAAAGAAUGUAAUGAGUAACUGAUUUUUCUUCCUGAGUCGCCCUUGCCAAAUAUGUUACUGUAUUAAUUAAUCUAAUAUUGAGUGAUUAUUUGUAAAAUUAUGAGUAUGGGAUAUCCAUCUAUCUACAGCCUAAGUUACACGUAAGUUUCAGAAAGUCUGAUUAGACUGAAGAGAUAUUUCUUCCGGGACAGCCUUCUUCUUGGUAAUUUUGAAGUUCUUUUUACAAGUUCCUUCCUCAGAUUCAGUUCUUUCCAGUGUUUUGUAGCUCACUGUCACUCACUGAAUAGAGAAACAUGUGCCCUACACUUCCUGUGACAAUCAUUUUGCUGACAGAAUGAUGGAUGUUUAGAAUAUUGCACAAAGUACUUUAAAGAAAGGUCUGUUAGGACCAGAAGCAGAGACACCACUUUUCAAAGGACUUCUUGGUUUCAGCAUAACCUCAGACAGGGAAUUGGGAGCCAUCAUAUGUCACAGUGUUCAGAAUUCAAGCAUAUUUAAGGGCAUUUUCUUUGAUUCUCAAAGUUCACCAUUCAUUUUGAAGUAAGAAGCCUAUACAUUUAGCUGACAAAGUGCUUAUAGAAUUUCUUAACAACUGAACCAUUCAAAAGGAUUUUUUUUUUGUUUAAAACUGGAUUUCAAUGUAAGCAAAUGAAGAAAAAAUAUAGAUUUCAUUUCCAUAGCUUCUUAUCCCUGUAUUGAGGUAAUAAAUUGUUUUACUGACAAUUUUUCCUUUUUCUACACUAAAACAAUAUGUGAUAUAUUUCCCCUCUUGGCAGAGGCAAUUCAUUAAACCCUCAAAUUUUCUAUAGAAUCAAGAUAGAACCUUUAGAUACUCCAACUCACCAAAAUGUAAAAAAACUGACAAAAAUAUUUGGUCUUCAAUAAUGCUAAAUAUCUAGAUUUUUAGAAUUUAUCAACAUUUAACUAGAUAAUUGGGCAUGUCUUAUUUAUGCAUGUACUUACCCAUACUAAUAAAAUUGACAACACUAGUGCAUACUUAUUGGUUUAGUCCUAUUAUCAGGAUAUAAUCAUCUGUGAGGAGGAUAUUUUAAAUACUGUAAAUGAUAACAGUUAAUGAUAUACACGUUUAGACUGAGUUGUACACUGGCAGGGAGACCAAAAACAUAGUACUUCCAUACUUGUGUCAUGAUUCUUUUUUUUUUUUGAGACAGAGUCUCACUCUGUCGCCAGGCUGGAGUACAGUGGCGUGAUCUCGGCUCACUGCAACCUCUGCCUCCCGGGUUCAAGCAAUUCUCCUGCCUCAGCCUCCCAAGUAGCUGGGACUUCAGGCGCGUGCCACCACACCCAGCUGAAUUUUGUAUUUUUAGUGGAGACGGGGUUUCACCAUGUUGGCCAGGAUGGUCUCGAUCUCCUGACCUUGUGAUCUGCCCGCCUCAGCCUCCCAAAGUGCUGGGAUUACAGGCGUAAGCCACCGGGCCUGGCCUGUUUCAUGAUUCUUAAUAGUUACUUGGUUUAAAUCACAUUUGAUACUAUCCUUCUGAAAAGUCUGAGACAGAUCUACAAACUACAGUCAAAAUUAUAGAUUAAGAGGAAUGAAUGCACCCAUUUGGCUUUAAGUUCAAGAUAAAUUAUUUCUCAUGCUCAUUUUCUUGCGGCAGUUGUCUUAGAAAGGCCCCCAAAGGCUCUGUGAUUGGAAGCACCGUCAUGAUCACAGAAUGCAAGCGUCUGGUGCCGUGAUCCUCAACUUAGAGAGGAGGAAACCCAGACAGAGAGCUUAACUCACUUCUCUCAGGGAAAAUUAGGAGUUGAGCACAGGACAGGAAAUGCGCUUUGCCACUUUUAGCUCCAGGCUUUUCCAACCAGACUUGAUUUCCUCAUGUUCUAGAAAGAUCACUAACGGUCAAGUGGAACAAGCACUACACGAUAACCCCUAUUGGGGUUUUUAACUUAAGGGAGGCUAAUUUUUAAUUUAAACUGCUCGAGAUAUGAGUUCUGCAAAAGGUGGUCCGC